Small nucleolar RNA from Dioscorea cayenensis subsp. rotundata (Guinea yam), 107 nucleotides. NCBI's taxonomy places the organism in Eukaryota, Viridiplantae, Streptophyta, Magnoliopsida, Dioscoreales, Dioscoreaceae. The record is from RefSeq and is a predicted model, not a curated record.
AACCCAUGCUGAUGGCAUUUUCACAGGAGAUCGUUGAACCUGUCCCAUUUCACAAAAAAAGACUCCAAUUCCAUUUGCACAAUAGAAGAUAUCUUAUUCCUAAGUUU